GAGGUUUGAGUCCUGGCUCAGAACGAACGCUGGCGGCAGGCUUAACACAUGCAAGUCGAACGCAUCCUUCGGGAUGAGUGGGCAGACGGGUGAGUAACGCGUGGGAAUCUACCUAUUUCUGCGGAAUAACACAGGGAAACUUGUGCUAAUACCGCAUACGCCUCGCAAGAGGGAAAGAGUUUAUCGGAGAUAGAUGAGCCCGCGUCUGAUUAGCUAGUUGGUGGGGUAAUGGCCUACCAAGGCGACGAUCAGUAGCUGGUCUGAGAGGAUGAUCAGCCACACUGGGACUGAGACACGGCCCAGACUCCUACGGGAGGCAGCAGUGGGGAAUAUUGGACAAUGGGCGCAAGCCUGAUCCAGCCAUGCCGCGUGAGUGAUGAAGGCCCUAGGGUGUAAAGCUCUUUCAGUAGGGAAGAUAAUGACGGUACCUACAGAAGAAGCCCCGGCUAACUUCGUG
This 457-nucleotide ribosomal RNA is filed under the name uncultured Hyphomicrobiales bacterium. RNAcentral describes it as "bacterial SSU rRNA". It matches the Rfam family "Bacterial small subunit ribosomal RNA", at positions 1 to 507 of the family's 1533-position model. Lineage: Bacteria; Pseudomonadati; Pseudomonadota; Alphaproteobacteria; Hyphomicrobiales. The record is from RNAcentral.